CCAAACUUGGUCAUUUAGAGGAAGUAAAAGUCGUAACAAGGUUUCCGUAGGUGAACCUGCGGAAGGAUCAUUAAAGGGAUACGAGGGGAUAAGUUCCCCGUCCUUCCCACCCGGUGAAUACGCGAGGAUCCUUACCCGUUACUUCGGCGGAACUUUUCGCCGCCGAGCAACAUUUUAAAAACCCUAUUUCAACGUGUCGUCUGAAAUUUUGUGGGAAUGAAUCAAAACUUUCAACAACGGAUCUCUUGGUUCUGGCAUCGAUGAAGAACGCAGC
This 274-nucleotide unclassified non-coding RNA is filed under the name uncultured fungus. RNAcentral's name for it is "partial contains small subunit ribosomal RNA, internal transcribed spacer 1, and 5.8S ribosomal RNA". The stretch from base 1 to 73 matches the Rfam family "Eukaryotic small subunit ribosomal RNA", at positions 1759 to 1831 of the family's 1831-position model. The record is from RNAcentral. Lineage: Eukaryota; Fungi.